This 2397-nucleotide non-coding RNA is filed under the name Pseudacris illinoensis. RNAcentral's name for it is "partial contains 12S ribosomal RNA, tRNA-Val, and 16S ribosomal RNA". The stretch from base 1055 to 2397 matches the Rfam family "Bacterial large subunit ribosomal RNA", at positions 1 to 2592 of the family's 2925-position model. The record is from RNAcentral. Lineage: Eukaryota; Metazoa; Chordata; Amphibia; Anura; Hylidae.
UUAAAUCAGUUCUUACUUAAUAUACACAUGCAAGUCUCCGCACCCCUGUGAAAAUGCCCUUAAACUCCUAGUAGGAAUAAGGAGCCGAUAUCAGGCUCAAAUUUUAGCCCAAGACAUCUAGCUACGCCACACCCACAAGGGAACUCAGCAGUGAUUAACAUUGAGCAUGAGCGACAGCUUGACUCAGUUAAAGUAAAAAGAGCCGGCAAACCUGGUGCCAGCCGCCGCGGUUACACCUGUGGGCUCAAAUUGAUAUUAUUCGGCGUAAAGCGUGGUUAAAAUCUCUAAGACAAUUAUAGUUGUACUAAAACUAAGCCGUGAAAAGCUUGUUUUUAGGAAAAUCAAAAACGAAAGUUACUAUAUUUACAUCAACUUGACCCCACGACAGCUAGGACACAAACUGGGAUUAGAUACCCCACUAUGCCUAGCCGUAAACCUUUAACUACAUCCGCAUCGCCUGGGAACUACGAGCAAAGCUUAAAACCCAAAGGACUUGACGGUACCCCACAUCCACCUAGAGGAGCCUGUCCUAUAAUCGAUAAUCCCCGCUUAACCUCACCAUUUUUAGCCUAUCAACCUGUAUACCUCCGUCGUCAGCUUACCUCGUGAGCGAACUUUAGUGAGCUUAAUGUCUUCGACAAAAACACGUCAAUACGUCAGGUCAAGGUGCAGUUAAUAAAAUGGAAUUAGAUGGGCUACACUCUCUAACAUAGAGCACACGAAAGACUAUUUAUGAAACCUAGUCAGAAGGCGGAUUUAGUAGUAAAAAGAAAUCAGAGAGUUCUUUUUAACACGGCACUGGGGUGUGUACACACCGCCCGUCACCCUCUUCAAAUCCAAAAAUAGUAUUUAACACAAUAUAGAAAACCAGAAGAGGCAAGUCGUAACAUGGUAAGUAUACCGGAAGGUGUGCUUGGAAACAAAAUGUAGCUUAAAUAAAGCAUCUUGCUUACACCAAGAAAAUACCUGUGAAACCCAGGUCAUUUUGAGCCAAAAACUUAGCCCCCCCCCCCCGCAUGAACCACUAAAACUAACCCUAAAAACCAAAACAUUUUUUUGAUUUAGUAAAGGAGAUUAAAAAACCUAUAGGAGCUAUAUUUUAAGUACCGUAAGGGAAAAGUGAAAUAGAACUGAAAUAAAUCUUAAGCACUUAAAAGUAGAGACCUAACCUCGUACCUUUUGCAUCAUGGUUUAACUAGUCUAAUCAAGCAAAACGAUUUGUAGUUUGACCUCCCGAAACUAAGCGAGCUACUUCAGGGCAGCUUAUCGAGCAAACCCGUCUCUGUUGCAAAAGAGUGGGAAGACCCUUAAGUAGGGGUGAUAGACCUAACGAGCUUAGUGAUAGCUGGUUACUCAAGAAAAGGAUUUUAGUCCAGCCUAAAGACUCACUAAUAUUCACACAUAACCGAACCACUUUAGAGUAAUUCAAAUAAGGUACAGCCUAUUUGAAACAGGAAACAACCUCAACCAAAGGGUAAUUAUUAUCUUCAACAACCAAGUAGGCCUAAAAGCAGCCAUCUUUAAAAUAGCGUCAAAGCUCAGUUGUUCAUGUCCCCUAAUCCCCCGAAUAAUUCAGAACCCUUCAUCACUAUUGAGUAAUUCUAUACACCUAUAGAAUAUCUUAUGUUAAAACUAGUAACAAGAAGAAGACCUUCUCUUAAAUGUUAGUGUAAGUCAAAAAGGACCAACCAAUGAUAAUUAACAUAAAUGAACAAAAAUUAGCAACCUUACAAGAGAAGCCUACUUUUUAAUAUGUUAACCUAACACAAGAGCAUUUCAAGAAAGAUUAAAAGAAAAAGAAGGAACUCGGCAAACAUUAACCUCGCCUGUUUACCAAAAACAUCGCCUCUUGAGCAAAUAUAAGAGGUCCAGCCUGCCCAGUGACUCUGUUCAACGGCCGCGGUAUCCUAACCGUGCGAAGGUAGCGUAAUCACUUGUUCUUUAAAUGAGGACUAGUAUGAAUGGCACCACGAAGGUUAUACUGUCUCCUUUUUCUAAUCAGUGAAACUAAUCUCCCCGUGAAGAAGCGGGGAUUAAACCAUAAGACGAGAAGACCCUAUGGAGCUUUAAACUAACAACAAUUGCUUUUUUUACACAUUAAAAUUUACAGCCAUCUUAGCUUUGUGAUUUUUAGUUUUAGGUUGGGGUGACCACGGAGCACAAUAAAACCUCCGCAUUGAAUGGAUCUUUAUCCUGAACAAUGAGCUACGACUCUAUGUACCAAUAAAUUGACAUCAAUUGACCCAAUUAUUUGAUCAAUGAACCAAGUUACCCUAGGGAUAACAGCGCAAUCCGCCUCAAGAGCCCCUAUCGACAGGCGGGUUUACGACCUCGAUGUUGGAUCAGGGUAUCCCAGUGGUGCAGCCGCUACUAAAGGUUCGUUGUUCAACGUCAAAA